This 301-nucleotide ribosomal RNA is filed under the name uncultured bacterium. RNAcentral describes it as "partial 16S ribosomal RNA". It matches the Rfam family "Bacterial small subunit ribosomal RNA", at positions 509 to 807 of the family's 1533-position model. The record is from RNAcentral.
CAGCAGCCGCGGUAAUACGAAGGGGGCUAGCGCUGCUCGGGAUGACUGGGCGUAAAGGGCGCGUAGGCGGUUUGUACAGUUAGGCGUGAAAUUCCUGGGCUCAACCUGGGGGCUGCGCUUGAUACUUGGUUGCUUGAGUGGGGAAGAGGGUCGUGGAAUUCCCAGUGUAGGGGUGAAAUUCGUAGAUAUUGGGAAGAACACCGGUGGCGAAGGCGGCGACCUGGUCCUUGACUGACGCUGAGGCGCGAAAGCGUGGGGAGCAAACAGGAUUAGAUACCCCCGUAGUCCCUGUCUCUUAUAC